Molecule: microRNA, 22 nt
Filed under: Apis mellifera (honey bee)
Lineage: Eukaryota; Metazoa; Arthropoda; Insecta; Hymenoptera; Apidae
Also listed under: 1 other name
Description: ame-miR-6001-5p
Source: miRBase by way of RNAcentral
GUAGGUAACGACUGAUGGGAAC